ACCGAAGUCCGGGAACGGGACGCUAAAAACCGCCACCAUUGCGUGAUUAGUUCGCGC
This 57-nucleotide ribosomal RNA is filed under the name Scytosiphon lomentaria. RNAcentral's name for it is "partial 18S ribosomal RNA". The record is from RNAcentral. Lineage: Eukaryota; Phaeophyceae; Ectocarpales; Scytosiphonaceae.